This 229-nucleotide ribosomal RNA is filed under the name uncultured bacterium. RNAcentral's name for it is "partial 16S ribosomal RNA". It matches the Rfam family "Bacterial small subunit ribosomal RNA", at positions 568 to 796 of the family's 1533-position model. The record is from RNAcentral.
UCCGUAGGUGGAUAAUUAAGUCAGGGGCGAAAGUCUGCAGCUCAACUGUAGAAUUGCCUUUGAUACUGGUUAUCUUGAAUUAUUAUGAAGUAGUUAGAAUAUGUAGUGUAGCGGUGAAAUGCAUAGAUAUUACAUAGAAUACCAAUUGCGAAGGCAGAUUACUAAUAAUAUAUUGACACUGAUGGACGAAAGCGUGGGGAGCGAACAGGAUUAGAUACCCUGGUAGUCC